This is a long non-coding RNA of Gallus gallus (chicken), 1479 nucleotides long. RefSeq annotates it as RNA-directed DNA polymerase from mobile element jockey-like. The transcript has 3 exons. The record is from RefSeq and is a predicted model, not a curated record. NCBI's taxonomy places the organism in Eukaryota, Metazoa, Chordata, Aves, Galliformes, Phasianidae.
GCAGUUUCAGUUCCACCUUUGUACUUAGUGACUUAUUUUCAAGUAAAUGUCUCGUAUAAGCAUCCAUGGCAGAGACUGAAGUUUCUGAUGAAAUCUGAUCCAGUAACCUAUUGCGGAGUUCCAGUCUUCACUGAGUUAGAUUUUCCUAUUUUUCCACAGCACAUAAACUCAAGACUUUUAGGACCAGCUAACACAUGCAUAGAAGAGCCUUCUUUCUUGCAGGAAGACUAAUGAGUUGUAUGGAAUCCAGCUGAGGGAAGCCUGCAGAGCCAGAAAAUAAAGUUCAUAGAAGUUCCCAGUAUUUUUCUUUUAUCCUGACAAAAUCCUGUUCUCUGCACAUAGCUGCUGAUGUAGAUGCCUUGUGAGAGUGACUCUCUGGAACUGCCUCAAAAAUGGGCCUUGUAAUAUAAUCUUCAGUAAAAGGAUGAAGACAGAACCUUCAAGAAGUUCUAGGCAUCCCAGGAUACUGAAGACACAAUAUAAAUUCUUAUCACAACAAGGAGAACUUUUGAGUCUGCCCCACUCUGACAUUGCUCUGGGAAAGAAGAGUUGAUGAGCACAAUUCAGUUUUUCAUAUGUCUACAUCGCCUAUGUUGUGGACUUAACUCCUUUGGAGGCUGGCUGACCAUAAAAGAAGAGAAUACCUAGGAGGAAAAAAGGCAGAGCUAAUGUUAAGCAAGAAUUACUGUCAUGCCAUGCCUGCAGUCACAAUCAGAGGUCUUUACCAGAGAAAAUAUAGGCAUUCAGGACUGCUAAAAUGUUGCCACACAGAACCAUUCACACAGGAUGUGGCUAGGGUCCUUAUCUCUCCUGUUACCCUUUUAUAGCUCAAAUUCUCUGGCCAAUUCUGUAGCAGUUUUUUGUUUCCUCAUUUUCCCCCCAUUUAUAAAACUGUAUUUUGCCAACAGAUUUGAACUUAUCCUACAGAUCUGACUCAGAAUGUUUAUUUUCCUUAAGACAACUACAAAAAGCAUUCCCGGUAAAGCAAUCCUCCAGUCCUCCCACAUUUUAUAAGAGAAAGAAAAAGAAAAAAAAAAAAAAAAAAACCACGUAACAGAUACAAACUUUAUUGAAUAAGGAACAUAAACCCAUUUAAAUCACUUCCAUCUUACAUUUUAUGAUACAGUCAUGAAUUAUGCUCUUUUUCUAUUUGUGAAGAAGGUAGAACAGAUGGCAAAGGCUAAGUUUAAAAUGAUGCACCCAUUAAAAUAACCUACACUGCCCAGAGAUUGUUCACAAAAUGACAGGAUUUGUGUGCUUUUAGAGAAUUUUUGCUCUAAUGAAAUUUUAUACUUUGCAAGGAGGUGGACAUCAGAAUAUGUUUAUUAUAUCCCGCUAUAUAUAACAGCAAAACUCUGCAGUAAUUUUAAAGAUCAUUUAUGUAUUUUGUGUGUGUUUGUAUACAUACAUACUUGGAAAGGCUUAUGCUUGGGGAUUUAGAGAUGUGAAGCACUGAUUAAAAUGAUAUAUGACUGCAAA